GACGAACGCUGGCGGCGUGCUUAACACAUGCAAGUCGAACGGAAAGGCCCUGCUUUUGUGGGGUGCUCGAGUGGCGAACGGGUGAGUAACACGUGAGUAACCUGCCCUUGACUUUGGGAUAACUUCAGGAAACUGGGGCUAAUACCGGAUAGGAGCUCCUGCUGCACGGUGGGGGUUGGAAAGUUUCGGCGGUUGGGGAUGGACUCGCGGCUUAUCAGCUUGUUGGUGGGGUAGUGGCUUACCAAGGCUUUGACGGGUAGCCGGCCUGAGAGGGUGACCGGGCACAUUGGGACUGAGGUACGGCCCAGACUCCUACGGGACGCAGCAGUGGGGAAUAUUGCGCAAUGGGCGGAAGCCUGAUGCAGCAACGCCGCGUGCGGGAUGACGGCCUUCGGGUUGUAAACCGCUUUCGCCUGUGACGAAGCGUGAGUGACGGUAAUGGGUAAAGAAGCACCGGCUAACUACGUG
This 468-nucleotide ribosomal RNA is filed under the name uncultured bacterium. Its description in RNAcentral is "partial 16S ribosomal RNA". It matches the Rfam family "Bacterial small subunit ribosomal RNA", at positions 28 to 507 of the family's 1533-position model. The record is from RNAcentral.